Molecule: transfer RNA, 75 nt
Filed under: Ipomoea nil (Japanese morning glory)
Lineage: Eukaryota; Viridiplantae; Streptophyta; Magnoliopsida; Solanales; Convolvulaceae
Rfam family: tRNA
About the family: Transfer RNA (tRNA) molecules are approximately 80 nucleotides in length. Their secondary structure includes four short double-helical elements and three loops (D, anti-codon, and T loops).
Source: Rfam by way of RNAcentral
GCUAGAAUAGCUUAGUUGAUUAAAAGCGUGUGGUUGUUAAUCACAAGGUCAGAGGUUCAAGCUCUCCUUCUAGUG